Molecule: ribosomal RNA, 547 nt
Filed under: uncultured bacterium
Lineage: Bacteria
Description: bacterial SSU rRNA
Rfam family: Bacterial small subunit ribosomal RNA
Source: RNAcentral
UAGGGAAUCUUCCGCAAUGGGCGAAAGCCUGACGGAGCAACGCCGCGUGAGUGAAGAAGGAUUUCGGUUCGUAAAGCUCUGUUGUUAGGGAAGAAUGAUUGUGUAGUAACUAUACACAGUAGAGACGGUACCUAACCAGAAAGCCACGGCUAACUACGUGCCAGCAGCCGCGGUAAUACGUAGGUGGCAAGCGUUGUCCGGAAUUAUUGGGCGUAAAGCGCGCGCAGGUGGUUUAAUAAGUCUGAUGUGAAAGCCCACGGCUCAACCGUGGAGGGUCAUUGGAAACUGUUAAACUUGAGUGCAGGAGAGAAAAGUGGAAUUCCUAGUGUAGCGGUGAAAUGCGUAGAGAUUAGGAGGAACACCAGUGGCGAAGGCGGCUUUUUGGCCUGUAACUGACACUGAGGCGCGAAAGCGUGGGGAGCAAACAGGAUUAGAUACCCUGGUAGUCCACGCCGUAAACGAUGAGUGCUAAGUGUUGGUCUCAUAAGAGAUCAGUGCUGCAGCUAACGCAUUAAGCACUCCGCCUGGGGAGUACGACCGCNNGGUU